This 548-nucleotide ribosomal RNA is filed under the name uncultured bacterium. RNAcentral describes it as "bacterial SSU rRNA". It matches the Rfam family "Bacterial small subunit ribosomal RNA", at positions 355 to 896 of the family's 1533-position model. The record is from RNAcentral.
UGGGGAAUCUUGGACAAUGGGCGCAAGCCUGAUCCAGCAAUGCCGCGUGGGUGAAGACGGCCUGCGGGUUGUAAAGCCCUUUUGGCGGGGAAGAAAGCCCUGGGUUAAACAGACUCAGGGGGUGACGUUACCCGCUGAAGAAGCACCGGCCAACUCCGUGCCAGCAGCCGCGGUAAUACGGAGGGUGCGAGCGUUAAUCGGAAUUACUGGGCGUAAAGCGCACGUAGGCGGUGAGUUAAGUCAGUUGUGAAAGCCCUGGGCUCAACCUGGGAACGGCAAUUGAUACUGACCGACUGGAGUGUAACAGAGGACCGUGGAAUUCCCGGUGUAGCGGUGAAAUGCGUAGAGAUCGGGAAGAACACCGAUGGCGAAGGCAGCGGUCUGGGUUAACACUGACGCUGAGGUGCGACAGCGUGGGGAGCAAACAGGAUUAGAUACCCUGGUAGUCCACGCCGUAAACGAUGAGAACUAGACGCUGGGUGGGUAACUGCUCGGUGUCGGAGCUAACGCGUUAAGUUCUCCGCCUGGGGAGUACGGCCGCAAGGUUA